RNAcentral lists this non-coding RNA (100 nucleotides) under Gavia stellata (red-throated loon). Its description in RNAcentral is "Eukaryotic large subunit ribosomal RNA". It matches the Rfam family "Eukaryotic large subunit ribosomal RNA", at positions 2202 to 2314 of the family's 3401-position model. Lineage: Eukaryota; Metazoa; Chordata; Aves; Gaviiformes; Gaviidae. The record is from Rfam by way of RNAcentral.
CCAGUGCUCUGAAUGUCAAAGUGAAGAAACUCAAUGAAGCACGGGUAGCCGUCGGGAGUAACUGACUCUCUUAAGAUGGGAUCAUAGUUACUAGCUGGGC